GUAUAAUGGGUCAGCGACUUAUAUUCUGUAGCAAGGUUAACCGAAUAGGGGAGCCGGAGGGAAACCGAGUCUUAAUUGGGCGUUAAGUUGCAGGGUAUAGACCCGAAACCCGGUGAUCUAGCCAUGGGCAGGUUGAAGGUUGGGUAACACUAACUGGAGGACCGAACCGACUAAUGUUGAAAAAUUAGCGGAUGACCUGUGGCUGGGGGUGAAAGGCCAAUCAAACCGGGAGAUAGCUGGUUCUCCCCGAAAGCUAUUUAGGUAGCGCCUCGUGAAUUCAUCUCCGGGGGUAGAGCACUGUUUCGGCUAGGGGGCCAUCCCGGCUUACCAACCCGAUGCAAACUGCGAAUACCGGAGAAUGUUAUCACGGGAGACACACGGCGGGUGCUAACGUCCGUCGUGAAGAGGGAAACAACCCAGACCGCCAGCUAAGGUCCCAAAGUCAUGGUUAAGUGGGAAACGAUGUGGGAAGGCCCAGACAGCCAGGAUGUUGGCUUAGAAGCAGCCAUCAUUUAAAGAAAGCGUAAUAGCUCACUGGUCGAGUCGGCCUGCGCGGAAGAUGUAACGGGGCUAAACCAUGCACCGAAGCUGCGGCAGCGACACUGUGUGUUGUUGGGUAGGGGAGCGUUCUGUAAGCCUGUGAAGGUGUGUCGUGAGGCAUGCUGGAGGUAUCAGAAGUGCGAAUGCUGACAUAAGUAACGAUAAAGCGGGUGAAAAGCCCGCUCGCCGGAAGACCAAGGGUUCCUGUCCAACGUUAAUCGGGGCAGGGUGAGUCGACCCCUAAGGCGAGGCCGAAAGGCGUAGUCGAUGGGAAACGGGUUAAUAUUCCCGUACUUGGUGUUACUGCGAAGGGGGGACGGAGAAGGCUAUGUUGGCCGGGCGACGGUUGUCCCGGUUUAAGCGUGUAGGUGUGUGU
Molecule: ribosomal RNA, 916 nt
Filed under: Salmonella enterica
Lineage: Bacteria; Pseudomonadati; Pseudomonadota; Gammaproteobacteria; Enterobacterales; Enterobacteriaceae
Description: partial 23S ribosomal RNA
Rfam family: Bacterial large subunit ribosomal RNA
Source: RNAcentral